GCAUUGAAGCUUAAUAAACAUAAUGGAAUCUUCCUCUAUCUUCUCCUUUUCAUCCCACCAUGACUCCACAACUGUACUAGCUCUUACGUCACCAAGAGCUUUGCUGACGACAUGACUUCCAAUUGGGCAUGAUUUUGCAAAAUUGUCCGGAUUCUUGAACUUUGGUGGAGGAGGCACAUGGGAUACUAAUGAAAUUGGCUUAUCUUCAUUGGUACUCAAAGUUAGAUCUUUGUCGAUCUCUUUUUCUUGGUCCCCAAGUCUUUCCUCUCUUUCAACAUCUAUAUCAUUUGGCACAUCCGGUUGCAGAUUUGGUUCGGGCUCACCAUCA
Molecule: long non-coding RNA, 328 nt
Filed under: Panax ginseng (ginseng)
Lineage: Eukaryota; Viridiplantae; Streptophyta; Magnoliopsida; Apiales; Araliaceae
Description: long non-coding RNA (PGIN_LNC000266)
Source: RNAcentral